UUUUGAUUAAGCUAUGUAAGGGCUUGAAGUGAAUGCCUAGGUGCCAGAAGGCGAUGAAGGACGUAGCAAGCUGCGAUAAUCCACAGGGAGCUGCAAGCAAGCGUUGAUCUGUGGCUUUCCGAAUGGGAAAACCCAGCCGGUUUACCGGCUAAUAUUUGCACAAUUCAUAGGCAAAUAUGGCGACACGAGGUGAAGUGAAACAUCUCAGUAACCUCAGGAAAAUAAAACGAAAUGAUUCUGUCAGUAGUGGCGAGCGAACGCAGAAAAGCCCAAACCUGCUGAACUUGUUCAGCGGGGGUAGCGGGAUCCCGACAUGAAAUGCCAGCCUGAUGCUAAAUCCUUUGGAAAAAGGAGCAUAAUCCGUGACAGCCGGGUAGGCAUCGGAAAAGCAAAUUUAGGGAAAUCCCAAGUAGCGCGGUGCACGUGAAACUCUGCGCGAAUCCGUCCAGACCACUGGAUAAGGCUAAAUACUAACUGGCAACCGAUAGUGAACUAGUACCGCGAGGGAAAGGUGAAAAGAACCGCUUUGAGCGGAGUGAAAAGAUCCUGCAACUUCAAGUCUACAAUGUGUUGAAGCCGAUUCAUUCGGCGACAGCUUGCCUUUUGCAUAAUGAGUCUGCGAGUUAUUGUCAGUGGCGGUCUAAAUCAAAUGAUGGAGACAAAGCGAAAGCGAGUGUGAAUAGCGCGCCAAAGUCGCUGGCAAUAGACCCGAAGCGGAGGUGAUCUACUCUUGAGCAGGUUGAAGCCAGGGUAAAACCUGGUGAAGGACCGAACUCGUGGAUGUUGAAAAAUCCUGAGAUGACUUGAGAGUAGGAGCGAAAGACUAAUCAAACCCCGUGAUAGCUGGUUCUCUUCGAAAUCGCUUGAGGGCGAGCGUUGAAGCUGUUCUCCAAGAGGUAGAGCACUGAAUGGCUUAGGGGCCAUACCAGGCUGCCAAAACCAAUCAAACUCCGAAUUCUUGGAUCCCGUGCUUCAGCAGUCAGACUGCGAGGGAUAAGCUUCGUAGUCGAGAGGGUAACAGCCCAGAUCACCGGCUAAGGUGCCAAAACAGGAUUAAGUGGAAAGGAUGUGACGUUGCUCAGACAGUGAGGAUGUUGGCUUAGAGGCAGCCAUCAUUUAAACAGUGCGUAAUAGCUGACUCAUCGAGCGAUGUCGCGCCGAAAAUGAUUGGCGAUCAAAUUCUGUACCGAAGCCGUGAGCGCAAUUUGCGCGGUAGAAGAGCGUGGGCGCGUUUGUGAAGCUGGAGGGAAACCGACAGUGGAAAUUCGCCCAGUGAGAAUGCAGACACGAGUAGCGAGUAAAACCAGAUUAAAAUUCUGGUCGCUGAAUACCCAAGGUUUCCUGGGGCAGGUUCGUCCUCCCAGGGUUAGUCGGGUGCUAAGAUGAGGCCGUAAGGCGUAUUCGAUGCACAAAAGGUUAAUAUUCCUUUACCACAGCAAAUCAGGCCCGUUCCCCGUGGUUCAGCACGUUGUAGUCAUCGAAAGACUAAUCUUAGGCGCAAGCCGAAGAAUAAUGUGCGUAUCUGCGGCGAGAAAAAAGCGGCAACCUUGUUGUUGUGCCCGUACCGUAAACCGACACAGGUGGGUUCGUCGAAUAGACUAAAGCGCGCGAGAGAGACCUCUCUAAGGACUCGGCACAUUGACCUCGUAACUUCGGGAGAAGAGGUACUCUAUGAGUCCCAGAAAAUAACGCUUAGCGACUGUUUAACAAAAACACAGCUCUCUGCCACGUCUUGACGACAAAGUAUAGGGAGUGACAAGUGACCAAUGCGGAAAGAUCAAGGCAAGGGGUUAGUCUAAUAGCGAAGCCCUGAACCCAAGUCCCCGUGAAUGUCGGCCGUAACUAUAACGGUCCUAAGGUAGCGAAAUUCCUUGUCGGGUAAGUUCCGACCUGCACGAAUCUUGUAACGACUAAGCGACUGUCUCGGAGAGGAUCUCGGCGAAACUGUAAUGGCGGUGAAGAUGCCGCCUUCCCGCAGUAGGACGGAAAGACCCUAUGCACCUUUACUGUAAGCUCGUAUUGUGUUCUGGCAACUUAUGCUUAGCGUAGGUGGGAGACUUUGAUGCUGAUGCUUCGGUUUCAGCUGAGUCGCAAUGUGAAACACCACCCUUGAGUUUCUAGAAUUCUAACCAUGAUCCUUUCAUCAAGGCAUGGAACAGUGCGUGCAGGUCAGUUUGGCUGGGGCGGCUUCCUCCAAAAUGGUAACGGAGGAGUGCGAAGCUGGGCUCAGCAUGGUUGGCAAUCAUGCGCUGAGGAUAUGGCUAAAAGCCCGGUUAACUGUGAGACCGACAGGUCAAGCAGAUGCGAAAGCAGGCCCAAAUGAUCCGAUGGUUGAAUGUGGAAUUGCCAUCGCUCAACGGACAAAAGGUACGCUAGGGAUAACAGGCUGAUCGCUGCCAAGAGUUCAUAUCGACGUAGCGGUUUGGCACCUCGAUGUCGGCUCAUCGCAUCCUGGGGCUGGAGAAGGUCCCAAGGGUCCGGCUGUUCGCCGGUUAAAGCGGUACGCGAGCUGGGUUCAGAACGUCGUGAGACAGUUCGGUCCUUAUCCACUGUGGGCGCAGGAAAUAUGAGGGGUUCUAACCUUAGUACGAGAGGACCGGGUUAGACGCACUUCUGGUGUGGCAGUUGUCUCUUCAGGGGCAUCGCUGCGUAGCCAUGUGCGGACAAGAUAAGCGCUGAAAGCAUCUAAGUGCCAAGCUUUUCCCAAGAUUUUAUUUCCCAAUCGCAAGAUUCUAAAGGUUCCCGCCAGACCAGCGGGUUGAUAGGAUGAAAAUGCAAGCACAGCGAUGUGUUCAGUUGAUCAUCACUAAUAAACCGUGCGGCUUAAUCUUU
This 2832-nucleotide ribosomal RNA is filed under the name Verrucomicrobiia bacterium. RNAcentral describes it as "23S ribosomal RNA". It matches the Rfam family "Bacterial large subunit ribosomal RNA". Lineage: Bacteria; Pseudomonadati; Verrucomicrobiota; Verrucomicrobiia. The record is from RNAcentral.